UGAGUCCGGAGCUCGACACCUAAUUCAAUGGGCUUAAGUCUUAAGAAACUUCAGUGCAUACUUAACAUGGAGCAGCCUAUGGACAAUGAUUGCUUCAACACCGCCGUGCAUAUGCUGGCAUGUGACGAGGGAGUAUUGUUCACAGACCCUCCUAUACACUACAUGGAUCUACCAUUUUGUUCCAUGAUGCUAGAGUCAACACGAGGUCAGAAGUUUUGUGAGAAGGAAACUAUUCAGACGUUGGCAAUAUUAUUUGAUAGCUAGCUUGGGAUGGAGAACGACAUCUCAUCAUGCAACAAGAUUUAUCUUCCCUAUGCAUUCAUCGGCUGAUAAAUCUUGUACGUCACCGACAAAGAGGCACGUCGUCUAUAUAUUAUGGAUCGUAUUCAAACAUCACAAUUAUC
Molecule: long non-coding RNA, 404 nt
Organism: Triticum aestivum (bread wheat)
Lineage: Eukaryota; Viridiplantae; Streptophyta; Magnoliopsida; Poales; Poaceae
Exons: 3
Source: RefSeq, a predicted model, not a curated record